This 224-nucleotide long non-coding RNA is filed under the name Fukomys damarensis (Damara mole-rat). RNAcentral describes it as "lncRNA (ENSFDAG00000025773.1)". Lineage: Eukaryota; Metazoa; Chordata; Mammalia; Rodentia; Bathyergidae. The record is from RNAcentral.
CCUGUCAGCCAUCCAAGGUCUUUGGAGCACUACUGUGGAGCAGAAUCUGUCGUAGGUGGUGGAGACUCCAUGUUGAACUAAACAGAGCCCCACGCCGGAUUCUCUUGUUAACAGGGGACUGACAAGAAGCAGAUGAUAGAUACAUGAAAUGGCAUCAGGGAGGUGUCAUUGCUGUUCUUUCUGGUCAAGCAACUAAGACUCAGAGGUCAUAUUCACAAACCACC